UCAAUAGGAUUGACUUUCCUUCAGUAUUAGAAACAAAACCUUAAAAAUAAACAUUUUGAUGAAACAACAACUGUAAGUCUCUCUGUGAGAAGGGAAGCAAUCGAAAGAAAAUCUAAGAGGAAAUCAGGUGCAAAUAAAUGAAAGUAAAUUCAUUCCCACUAACAAGGGAUAAGUUUUGGUGUAACGUCAGGUGUUUAUCAGAGGACACAGACGGAACAACACGGGGCCCUGGCCCCCUUCAAGCCCUCCCUCCCAGCACGUACACUUUCACUUUCUUUGUCUUAAAUCAUCUCCCUCCUCUCUCUCUCUCUCUCUCUCUCUGUCCAAACGGACUUAACUAUGGUUCAAUUGAAUUAACCUCAUCAAACAUCACAUCUUCUCUCUCUCUCCUUCCUCAUGCUUUUGGCUAAUCUUGUUACUUUAGUCCCACCGCCGGCUCCGCACAGUCGCCAAUAAUACUACUCUCUUCUGCAUCAUCCCUCAAGUUCCCAUUUCAAAAGAUAAUAUUUUGAUUAGUGAGUAUUUCUCUUAUUUUCCUCUUUCUUUGUCUUUCUCUCUCAAACUUGAAAUAUAAUUAAUUAAGGGGAAGGAAAGAAAAAAAAAAUAAAAUAAAAGGGUCCGUCGGUGUUGUUUGAUUGACCUUGAAUCUAUCUGGGAAAGAGGUAAAUUGUUGUUUGAUUUUUUGUUAAAGUUCAGUUUGAACUCUUUUUGUUCUUGAAUUUUCUAUUUUUGUUCUAGCUUUUUGCUAUUUUCUUCUUCUUUUUCUCUUUUUAUGUUUACUGGAUCUCUCCGACUUGGAAUCUUUUAGGUCUGGAUCCUGGUUUCUCGUUUGGGUUUACUGUUAGAUGUGGGUUAUAGGAUUAGACCAAGAAUUUUUGUGUUCUUUUUUAGAUCCAAGCUACUUGACCUCUAUGUUAUUACCUGAACAAUUUCUUUUCUAGGAAAGUUGAAAACUUUCCCGGGAGGUACUUACAUUCUGUCAUAAACGGUGAGAUCUGGGUGUUUCACUUGAUUAUCUGUUGGAUGAUAAGAUUCAUUUGAUUUAUAAUCUAGUCAUGGGCUUUAAUAUCAAAAUUGGCUUUAAUAUCAAAAUUGGUUACUUUAAUCUCCUGCUAGUAAAUCUAUUCAUAUCUUUCAAUAGAAAAUAAUUCAAGAUUAAUUUUUUUUAUGAAUUGGGAAUAUAAAAUUUUCUGUUAUGGAAUUGAUGUUUCAUCAAAGUUUUUUAGUGGAAUUAACUUGUCUCAAUCAAAAUUUGCUGAAAUGAUUGAUAUUUGAGAUUUUGUGCAUAAAUAUUCUGUAGUAAAUAAGAAAAUCUGAAAUGGAAUUUCUAUUGAAUUAUUAUACACAGGAAAGCAUUUAGUUUUUUGCUGGGUUUUAGUAUGUAUUAACUUUUGCUGUUCUUAGCAGGCUUAAAAAUACCGACAGAGUAAGAUAGAUAGGGUUUAAAGCCAUUAGAGAUCCCUACAAAUUCAAGAUGAUGAUGUUCGAUGAGAUGGGAUUUCUUGGUGAUAUGGAUUUCUUCUCUGCGCCUUUUGGAGAAGAUGUGGCUGGUCCGGAAACUGAGCCGGAGCCUACUGUGGAGGAUGAUUAUAGUGAUGAGGAGAUUUAUAUUGAUGAGCUUGAGCGCAGGAUGUGGAGGGACAAGAUGCGUCUUAAAUGGCUGAAAGAGCAGAUCAAGAGUAAAGAAGGUAUUGAUAUUGCUAAGCAGAGGCAGUCACAGGAACAAGCUAGGAGGAAGAAGAUGUCAAGGGCUCAAGAUGGGAUCUUAAAAUAUAUGUUGAAGAUGAUGGAAGUUUGUAAAGCUCAAGGCUUUGUUUAUGGGAUUAUUCCUGAGAAAGGAAAGCCAGUGACUGGGGCAUCAGAUAAUCUUCGAGAGUGGUGGAAGGAUAAAGUAAGGUUUGAUCGAAAUGGUCCGGCUGCCAUUGCCAAGUAUCAAGCGGAUAAUUCGAUCCCAGGCAAGAAUGAGGAUUGUAAUUCAAUUGGUCCAACUCCACAUACCUUGCAGGAGCUUCAAGAUACUACUUUGGGUUCGCUUUUGUCAGCUUUGAUGCAGCACUGUGAUCCUCCUCAGAGGCGGUUUCCAUUGGAGAAAGGUGUUCCUCCACCAUGGUGGCCCAAUGGAAAUGAAGAGUGGUGGCCUCAAUUAGGCUUACCUAAGGACCAGGGUCCUCCACCUUAUAAGAAGCCUCAUGACUUGAAAAAGGCAUGGAAGGUUGGGGUUCUUACUGCAGUGAUCAAACAUAUGUCUCCAGACAUUGCCAAAAUUCGCAAGCUUGUGAGACAGUCAAAGUGUUUACAGGACAAAAUGACAGCUAAGGAGAGUGCAACUUGGCUUGCAAUUAUUAACCAAGAGGAGGCAUUGGCCCGAGAGCUUUACCCUGAUUCAUGCCCACCCUUGUCAUCGACUGGAGGGAGUGGUUCAUUAGUGAUUCAUGAUUGCAGUGAAUAUGAUGUUGAAGGGGUUGAAAAUGAGGGAGGUAAAAAUACGUGGAGGGACAAGAUGCGUCUUAAAAGGCUGAAAGAGCAGAACAAGAGAAAAGAAGGUAUUGAGAUUGCUAAGCAGAGGCAGUCACAGGAAGAAGCUAGGAGGAAGAAGAUGUCAAGGGCUCAAGAUGGGAUCUUCUUUUUACUUAGUAAAUUAUAGAGGAGAAUUUUAUUAGCAAUUGAAAGAAGAGUAACCAGAAAAUGGAAAUUGCAUCUUUUUUUUCGUGGCAUUUUAUCAUUGCAUUGUUGAAUAUUUUCUCCAGUCACAGAGUUCCCUUUCCAUGGAGUUUAAAAGAUUGGCUUACUGUAGAUACUAUAGAUCUUUAUUUAUGUCUAGGUAAAAUACAUCUGUGACUCUAAAUUAUGUCAUAAUUAACACUUUUGUCCCUCUACUGAUUAGAGAAAUGAAAAUGUUAAUCAGGGCAUAAUUAAGGACCCACAUGUAUUCUACCCUAGUUCAAUGAUUAAAAGGUUAUUGUAGUCUUUUUAUUUUCAAUUGCUGGUGAAAGUUCACUUUUUUGGAAGGAAUAACUUAUCAAUUAGAAAGACUAUUAGGGUGAAAUUUAAAAUAUAUGCAAGGAAAUAUGCUUAACCAAAAAAAAAAAAAAAUUAUAUAUAUAUAUAUAUAUAUAUAUAUAUAUAUAUAUAUAUGAAAAGAGAUGAAGGUCAAAUUUGUCUUGCCAUAUUUUAUUUUAUAUACCAAAUGCUGAAAAAUAAUUUUCUUUAAAAAAGUACUUUUUGAGAAGUAUACUUCGGGAUAAAUAAUAAUUUUUCUUUAUUUUAUUUUUAGAUAAUGUUAAAGAUGAAAAACGAACUUUGAGGAGUGUCUUGAUGUGGUCAUUUGGGGAAACGCACUGGAGAGUUGAUGACGGGCUAAAGUGGGCCUGAAACCGGACCAGGUUCAGUUGGCUGUUUCCAACUAUGAAAUAGACAAUAAUAGCCUCAAGACAAGGCUUACUGUUUACGUGCUUUGGUAACAUGCACAUGUUUGGUUUUCUACAGAACAAAUCCCUUUUUCAGAAAAAUUAAUUAUUUUAUUCAUUAAUUAUUUUACUGGCUGUUAAUUAUUUCAGUUGGUUGUUUUGUCAAACCUUAUAAGCAAUAACAUCUAAAAAUUAUUAUCUCAGUUUUAUGAUAUUUGUUAUAUUGGAGAAAUAAUUUAUUCUAAAAUAUUUGUUAUAUUUGUGAUUUUAAGAGUAAUAAAUUUUUUUUUUUUUCAUGUCUACCAUUUGUAUAGGUCUAACUAUCAUAACUUCAAUUUAAUAAUUUUUUUUAAAAAAAAUUAGUAUUUAACGUCUGAUUUAUCAAUAAACAGAUUUUGUUGGUAGUUACCUACAAAUUAGAAAUUUUUAUUGAUAAAAUUUAUUUUUAAAAUUAAAAAAGAUCAUAUAAUUUUAACGAUCGAUUAUCGACAGAAUAGAUUACCAACAGAGUUUACCAAUAAAUUUAAAUUUUAUUGGCAAAAAGUGUGUUAUAAAUUUGCGCGUAGGUUGAUAAUUUAUUAACAAAUUACAAAUAGAUUUUUAUAAAAAUUUUAAAUUUCAAGAGUCAUAAAUGGGCGGGUAAAUGAUGAAAUUUGGCAACACUAAAAUAUAUAAAUUUAUUUAUGAACUUUUUCGAAAAAAAAAAAAAGUGUGGAUAUAAAUUUCAGGUGUCAUAAAUUGCUCCAAAUAAGGCAAGUCACUAAUUCUAACAGACUUGAUGACAUCUGCCUAACAAAGUAGGAUAUUUAUCGUUUGAUUAUUUAAGCAACUAACGGAAGUCAGUUGUUUUAGCAGACUUGCCUUAGUUGGAACUACUAAAGGUUACGGAGAAGGUCAUAGUUUCAACUGAGACAAGUAAAAACACGUUAUUAAAGAAAACGGCGUCAUUUCUUUCUAGUAAUUCCAACUCAUGUCCCUCUUCACUUCCUACGUUUAGCUCAUAAAUGUCAUUACUUGAUUUCCAAUUUGAAUUUAAGCUCAACUCAUUUACGAUUAGCGAGCCAAGUUCCAUUUUUAAAUGAAUCAAACUCGAAAUCAAGUAUAUCAUAAUCGAAUGGAGCUUAAAUUCAUCAAAACUCGACUUUUCGAUCAGUUCAGCUUGAUUUGACUUAUUUACAACCCUAUCUAAUCUCAUUCUGUUUCGAGGACUAUGAUAUAUAUCAUGCUCCUCUUCCUUUAUCAACGUGCUAGUCCAAACCAAGUUUGCUUCGUACUACUAAGAACUUAUGGAGAAUAACAAUUACUCAUAAAUAAAUAUUGCACUUAAAUAAACAAAUGCUAAAGCAUUUCUCAUUCUUUAUAAAUAGGUAAGACUUAAAGAACGAUUGUAUUAACAAUUUUACAUUUUUUUUUUUGUAUAAAUGACAAAACAAAAUUUUGAUAGAAAAAUUUAAAAGAUAUUAUUUUUCUUAGGAAUUUAGUAAUUUUUUUAACUUGAUAUAAUUAUUGGGUAUAUUUAAAAAAUAUAUAUAUAUUAUUUAAGGCCACAAAAAGGAGGUUAAACUAAUUUUGGUUUAAGGCAAUGAAAUAUCAAUUAAUUUUGGUUCGAUUUCGAACUAAACCAAGCUGCAAGAACCAAAAAUCGAAAAUACAUUUUACUUGAAAUCGAACCGAACCAAAAUGGUCAAUCCGGUUUGAUAGGUAUGAAUUCAGUUAAACGAUUUGGUUUUACACAUUAAAUAAACGUUUGGUAUAACCAAUCCAAAUACAGAAAAUUGAAAUUAUGAAAAAAUUUUAAACAUAAGCCUAGACCAAAAACUGAAUAAUUGAACUAAAAAUAAAAAAUAAUUUGGUUCGAUUCGAGUUUUGAUUUUUCCUAAAAUCUGCUCACCCCAGUCAAUUAGAUUCCUAACCCAUCACCAGAUGUCCAUUUUAAUUUCGUGCGUAGUGCUUGGCUUACGCUGGCAGCUGUACAAUUGACCAAAUACAAUUUAUCUUGAAACUUUUAAGGAUUAUUUUAUUUUAAUUUCAUGCAAUUGGUAAUUAGUUUUGCCGCAAUGAAAUGCUGCACGUGCUUAAAAAAAAAAAAGUAAAAAAGGUCUUUGACUUGAUAAACACAAAGCAUUUGAUGUCACAUCCCCAAGUCCGUGGAUAAUACAGUUACUAUUAAACCCACGAAAUGUUCCACAAAUAAAAUAUAAAUUGGAAAACCAAGUUAAUAUUUUAGUAGAUAUCCCUAAUAAUUUUUAUAUUUUUUAACUAUUUAACAAGUGUUGAAUUGAUUUAAUUUUAUCAAUUAAAAUAUUCGUUGCAUUAAGUUGAAAUAUUUAUUAAGUGUAAUUUGUUAAAUUAAAGUGCUUAAUAAAAUAAAAUUUAAAAGUGUUACAGGAGAUUUUAUAAAAAAUGCAUAUAUAAAUUUAUUAUUUCGCUCUAAAAAUAUAAAAAUAAAUUAGAUAUAUUAUUAUUGAAAAUAUUUUAUCGGAAUAUCAUUUUUAAUCUGAUCGUAAAAUUACGUUUGUGAAAUAAAAACCACAUUUAUAGCAAAUUAAGUUGAAUUAUACUGAUUUGACAAAAAUAUUUUUCAAUACAAUCAUAAAUAUUAUUAAUUUUAUAGUGUUCAUUUUUAUUUUAGAAAAAAAAAAAAAACAUUGAGGUUUCUCUAGUUGAUGAAAUAUCCAUCUACGGAUAGUUCCACCUCUAAAUAUGGCAUGGGUACCUAAAAAUUUAAGAUUUUUAUAAUUUCUCACCCUUUUUAUUUAUAUUUAAUUGAUUUAUGCAAAUCAAAUCACCAAAAUUCUUACAUGAUAUGAUCUUUUUGAAUUAAAAUGUGUCAUAACUUACAAAAUAAUAUAUAUAUAUAAACAACUUAUAAAAUAUAUAAGGCUUGUUUUGGCAAUACUAGCUCUUUUAGUAAGAAUUUAUUCGGCAAUAUUAGUUAUUUUAUAAGCUCUUUAAACUAGUAGUUGUUUAUAUAAUAAUUUAAAUUAAAAAUGCUCGAUAAAAAUAAUUGUUUUGUUUAAAAAAUUAGGAUUACAAUUAUUAAAAAAAUUAUCUGAAUACCACUUUCAUUCUGAAUAUAUAUAUAAAUAAACCACAAAAAUUAGUGUUUAUGGGAGAAUUAAUUACAAUUAUAGAUUUUUCAUUAUUUGUACAGAAAAACCUAACACAUCCAAAUCUUUCUUAAUCACUUUUGAUUUGCAAUAUCAUCAUCUUUUUCGUCUUCUUUUUCUAGUUUCACCUUCAUUGUCUUAUUGCUUCCUCGAUAGGUGCCACUCGAACUUUCUUUUACCUUAUUAGCUUAACUAUUUCUGCUUUAAUAAAAUUCAAAAUAAAAAAAAUUAAAUUCCAAAAAAUAUUAAAAAGUUCUAGAAGUAUAUAAUAAUUUUUUAAAAAUAUAUUCCAUUUCUUCAAACGAAUAAUAAACACUAUAAAAAGAAUAAAACCUAUUCGAGUUGGUGGGAUUUGAAUCCUAUAAAAGCAAACCACAUGCAUAAAUGUUGACACGAUAGCUCGCGGUAUAAACAUGAAAAGAAAAAAAAAUUCUGUAAAAAGAAUAAAAUAAUAAUAAUAAUAAUAAAUUAAAUUUAAAGCUAUGCUCAAAAGAGAGAUUAAUAAAUUUAGAAAAAUAUAUAUUUAUUGAAAAAAUAAAAAUAAAAAAGAAGAAUUAUCAAUAAGAAUAAAAUAAAAUAAAAGGCUAGUAGUAGAUAUCAUAUAAAUUUUUUCAAAUUAAUUGAAAAAUAGACUGAUAUAGUAUUAGGUCUAAUUUAAGUAGUCUUUAUACCCAUUUAGGCAAUAAAAAUAUAUAUGUUAAAUCAUUAAUAUCUUAUUGGUAUUUUUUUAAAUUCCAGUGGUAAAAAUCAAGUCUGAAAUUUCCUUAUUUACUCAUUAAAAAAUAAGAAAAAGUUCAAAUUUUCAUUCUAAAUUUCUUCAAUCAACGAAAGUCCUGAAAUGGAAUUCACUUUUUAAGUAAGGGAUUUUUUAAGAUUUUUCAUUUACUUUAUAUUAUUUAAUUUCAAAUAUUUAUAAAUUUUAGUAUUAAUUACAAAAGAUUUUCACAGACAUUGUAAUGUAGUUGGAAAUUUUGAUGUUUGAACGCUUUUGCCAAAUAGCGAUAUAAAUAUUUACUCCCUCUAUCUCAAAAAAUUUAUCAUGUUUACUCUUACACGAAGUUUAAGAAACAAAAUAAUUACAGUGUAACAUAUUCCUUUAUCUCAAAAUAUAAUUCGUUUAAGGUUUUUGUAUAAGAAUUAAGGAAGUAAUUAAUUCUUCUUGAUUAUAAUAAAAUUAAAAGUAAAUUGAUUAAAUAAUCGUUUAUAUUAAAACUAAUAGGUACUUGUGAAAGUUUUUGUUGUAUCUAAUGUAAACAACGGUAACAUUAGAAAAAUAUUAUUUAUUUACUCAUUGAAAUAUUCAAAAUGACUUAUAUUUUAAAAUAAAAUAAUUAUACAAAAACGACUUAUAUAUUGGGACAGAGGGAACAUAAAAUAUUUGUGCUUCCAAAAUUGUGAUUCUUUUAAACAAAAUGGUUAUUUCUAAAAAUUUGCACCAAAAUCAGUUAUAAAAAAAAAACAUAAAAGGAAAUAUCAAUAUCUCCUCGAUUAAUUGGACAAACAUUUUGAGACAUUUAAAAAUCAAAAUAUGGAUUAAAAUUUUUUGGUACGGAAUGAGCAUUAUAUUUUGUCAUUGUUGAUUAUAAAUUAAAUUAACAGAAAGGGAUGAUACGUUUAGAAAAAAAUUAUUUAUAAAAAUUGAAUUUUUAAGAAAACUGAUCAGAAGUCAUUAAAAAUUGUUUAAAGACUAAUAAUAUUUAACCUAUAAAAUAAUUUAGAUUUUCGUAUUUAUUUUUUUUUCUAAAAUUUUCAAUUGUUAAUAUAAGAAACAAAACCUUAAAAAUAAACAUUUUGAUGAAACAACAACUGUAACUCUUAUCUGUAAGAAGGGAAGCAAUAGAAAGAAAAUCUAGAGAAAAUCAGGUGCAAAUCAAUGAAAGUAAAUGCAUUCCCACUAACAAGGGAUAAGUUUUGGUGAAACGUCAGGUGUAUAUCAGAGGACACACACGCAACAACACGGAGCCCCUUCAAGCCCUCCCUCGCAGCACGUACACUUUCACUUUCACUUUCUUUGUCUUAAAUAAUCUCCUCUUCUCUCUCUCUCUCUCUCUCUCUCUCCAAACGGACAUAACUAUGGUUCAAUUGAAUUAACCUCAUCAAACCUCACCUCUUCUCUCCCUCUCUCCCUCUCUCUCCUUCCUCAUGCUUUCUUAUAUUUUUUUUGGCUAAUCUUGUUACUUUAAUCCCACCGCCCACUCCACACAGUCACCAAUAAUACUACUCUGUUCUGCAUCAUCCCUCAAGUUCCCAUUUCAAAAGAUAAUAUUUUGAUUAGUGGUUAUUUCUCUUAUUUUCCUCUUUCUUUGUCUUUCUCUCUUAAACUUGAAAUAUAAUUAAUUAAGGGGAAGGAAAGAAAAAGAAAAGAAAAUUAAAGGGUCUGUCGGUGUUGUUUGAUUGACCUUGAAUCUAUCUGGGAAAGAGGUAAAUUGUUGUUUGAUUUUUUUUUUUUUUUUAAAGUUCAGUUUGAACUCUUUUUGUUCUUGAAUUUUCUAUUUUUGUUAUAACUUUUUGCUAUUUUCUUCUUCUUUUUCUCUUUUUACGUUUACUGGAUCUCUCCGACUUGGAAUCUUUUGGGUCUGGAUUCUGGUUUCUCGUUUGGGUUUACUGUUAGAUGUGGGUUUUAGGAUUAGACCAAGAAUUUUUGUGUUCUUUUUUAGAUCCAAGCUACUUGACCUGUAUGUUAUUGCAUGAACAAUUUUUUUUCUAGGAAAGUUGAAAACUUUCCCGAGAGGUCCUUACCUUCUGUCAUAAACGGUGAGAUCUGGGUGUUUCACUUGAUUAUAUGUUGGAUGAUAAGAUUCAUUUGAUUUAUGAUCUAGUCUUGGGCUUUAAUAUCAAAAUUGGUUACUUUAAUCUGCUGCCAGUAAAUCUAUUUAUAUCUUUCAAUAGAAAAUAAUUCAAGAUUAAUUUUUUUUAUGAAUUGGGAAUAUAAAAUUUUCUGUUGUGGAAUUGAUGUUUCAUCAAAGUUUUUUAGUGGAAUUAAUUUGUCUCGAUCAAAAUUUGCUGAAAUGAUUGAUAUUUGAGAUUUUGUGCAUAAAUAUUCUGUAGCAAAUAAGAAAAUCUGAAAUGGAACUUCUAUUGAAUUGUUGAAUUAUGAUACACAGGAAAGCAUUUAGAUUUUUGCUGGGUUUUAGUAUGUAUUAACUUUUGCUGUUCUUAGCAGGCUUGAAAAUACCGACAGAGUAAGAUAGAUAGGGUUUAAAGCCAAACUAUGGUUCAAUUGAAUUAACCUCAUCAAACCUCACCUCUUCUCUCCCUCUCUCCCUCUCUCUCCUUCCUCAUGCUUUCUUAUAUUUUUUUUGGCUAAUCUUGUUACUUUAAUCCCACCGCCCACUCCACACAGUCACCAAUAAUACUACUCUGUUCUGCAUCAUCCCUCAAGUUCCCAUUUCAAAAGAUAAUAUUUUGAUUAGUGGUUAUUUCUCUUAUUUUCCUCUUUCUUUGUCUUUCUCUCUUAAACUUGAAAUAUAAUUAAUUAAGGGGAAGGAAAGAAAAAGAAAAGAAAAUUAAAGGGUCUGUCGGUGUUGUUUGAUUGACCUUGAAUCUAUCUGGGAAAGAGGUAAAUUGUUGGUUGAUUUUUUUUUUUUUUUAAAGUUCAGUUUGAACUCUUUUUGUUCUUGAAUUUUCUAUUUUUGUUAUAACUUUUUGCUAUUUUCUUCUUCUUUUUCUCUUUUUACGUUUACUGGAUCUCUCCGACUUGGAAUCUUUUGGGUCUGGAUUCUGGUUUCUCGUUUGGGUUUACUGUUAGAUGUGGGUUUUAGGAUUAGACCAAGAAUUUUUGUGUUCUUUUUUAGAUCCAAGCUACUUGACCUGUAUGUUAUUGCAUGAACAAUUUUUUUUCUAGGAAAGUUGAAAACUUUCCCGAGAGGUCCUUACCUUCUGUCAUAAACGGUGAGAUCUGGGUGUUUCACUUGAUUAUAUGUUGGAUGAUAAGAUUCAUUUGAUUUAUGAUCUAGUCUUGGGCUUUAAUAUCAAAAUUGGUUACUUUAAUCUGCUGCCAGUAAAUCUAUUUAUAUCUUUCAAUAGAAAAUAAUUCAAGAUUAAUUUUUUUUAUGAAUUGGGAAUAUAAAAUUUUCUGUUGUGGAAUUGAUGUUUCAUCAAAGUUUUUUAGUGGAAUUAAUUUGUCUCGAUCAAAAUUUGCUGAAAUGAUUGAUAUUUGAGAUUUUGUGCAUAAAUAUUCUGUAGCAAAUAAGAAAAUCUGAAAUGGAACUUCUAUUGAAUUGUUGAAUUAUGAUACACAGGAAAGCAUUUAGAUUUUUGCUGGGUUUUAGUAUGUAUUAACUUUUGCUGUUCUUAGCAG
Molecule: long non-coding RNA, 10817 nt
Filed under: Jatropha curcas
Lineage: Eukaryota; Viridiplantae; Streptophyta; Magnoliopsida; Malpighiales; Euphorbiaceae
Description: long non-coding RNA (JCUR_LNC000684)
Source: RNAcentral